UACGGAGGGUGCGAGCGUUAAUCGGAAUUACUGGGCGUAAAGCGCGCGUAGGCGGUGGGCUAAGUCCCUUGUGAAAGCCCUGGGCUCAACCUGGGAAUGGCAGGGGAAACUGGUCGGCUAGAGUGUGGUAGAGGGUGGCGGAAUUUCCGGUGUAGCAGUGAAAUGCGUAGAGAUCGGAAGGAACACCAGUGGCGAAGGCGGCCAUCUGGACCAACACUGACGCUGAGGUGCGAAAGCGUGGGGAGCAAACAGG
Molecule: ribosomal RNA, 253 nt
Filed under: uncultured bacterium
Lineage: Bacteria
Also listed under: 1 other name
Description: partial 16S ribosomal RNA
Rfam family: Bacterial small subunit ribosomal RNA
Source: RNAcentral